UACGUAGGGACCGAGCGUUGUCCGGAUUCAUUGGGCGUAAAGAGCUCGUAGGCGGCUGCUCAAGUCGAAUGUGAAAACUCGAGGCUUAACCUCGAGCCUGCAUUCGAUACUGGGCGGCUAGAGUCUGGUAGGGGGAUCUGGAAUUCCUGGUGUAGCGGUGGAAUGCGCAGAUAUCAGGAGGAACACCUGUGGUGUAGACGGCUUUCUGGACCAUAACUGACGCUGAGACACGAAAGCGUGGGUAGCAAACAGG
Molecule: ribosomal RNA, 253 nt
Filed under: uncultured bacterium
Lineage: Bacteria
Description: partial 16S ribosomal RNA
Rfam family: Bacterial small subunit ribosomal RNA
Source: RNAcentral